GACGAAGGGGGCUAGCGUUGUUCGGAAUUACUGGGCGUAAAGCGCGUGUAGGCGGCUCUUCAAGUCAGGCGUGAAAGCCCCGGGCUCAACUCGGGAACUGCGCUUGAUACCGUCGAGCUAGAGUGUGGAAGGGGCGAUUGGAAUUCCGUGUGUAGCGGUGAAGUGCGUAGAUAUACGGAGGAACACCAGAGGCGAAGGCGGAUCGCUGGGCCAACACUGACGCUGAGACGCGAAAGCUAGGGUAGCAAACGGG
This 253-nucleotide ribosomal RNA is filed under the name uncultured bacterium. RNAcentral's name for it is "partial 16S ribosomal RNA". It matches the Rfam family "Bacterial small subunit ribosomal RNA", at positions 524 to 776 of the family's 1533-position model. The record is from RNAcentral.